Long non-coding RNA from Mercenaria mercenaria, 2929 nucleotides. RefSeq lists it as uncharacterized. NCBI's taxonomy places the organism in Eukaryota, Metazoa, Mollusca, Bivalvia, Venerida, Veneridae. The transcript has 2 exons. The record is from RefSeq and is a predicted model, not a curated record.
UCGUGACUGUAUAUUUCGCAUCAUUCGUGUUUUCUUUUGUGCUGACGUUGUUCACAGGAUGACUAACUAAAGUGAUGCCUAUAAAAGUAAGUUAUAGGUUAUAGGACAGACAUAUAAUAAUUGAACUCACGUUGAAUUAUUAACAAGCAAUAUAUUUUAUGAAAAUGCCGGCUUAUUGGAGCAUGAUCGCCUUGUUUUCUUUAGCUGCCGUUGUUUAUUCGCAAGAGGCUGCAUCAUGCGUUUAUACCAUGGAGAAUAUGUUAGAGAAGAUUAUUAAGAUAGGGAUAAAGGUUGAGUAGAUAGAGAAAAGAAUAACUGUGAUUGAGACGCAGCAGAAUGCGCCUCCAACACCACAAACACCAGUAAAUGAUACCCUGUCAGUCAUCAGAACUCCAAAAAUUGCUUUUAGAAUCCAGUUGAAAUCUGACCUUGGGUCUGUAAAAUCUGGUUCAACAGUAAAAUUUGAUCAGGUUGACCUUAACCUUGGCAAUGCGUACAAUGACGGUGUCUUUACGGCGCCGUAUAACGGCACGUAUAUAUUUUCGAUAGUACUUGGAAACCCUGCGGGAAAGCCUGGAGCCUUCUUCAUGAAGAAAAAUAACGUUGGAAUCGAGUAUGCCAUAGCUGGACACACGACGGGAUGGAAUAUUGGCGGUGUCACCACGGUGGCUGAACUUGUUACCGGUGAUCGAGUAUGGGUUGAAGGGGAAGGAUAUGUGUCUGGCGGCUAUUCCAUAGCCAGAUACCACACUGGGUUCUCUGGAAUUCUUGUGAACGCAUACUGAAUGGAAGAAUUACUCACAGCUACAGAAGAAAACGUGACUUAUUUUUUGUAGACUAAUGUAAAGCAACACCGCCCUCCCUUAAAUGUGCAUCUUUUAUUGUCCACAGAACUAUUUAUUACCAAAGUAUAGAAAGCCAGAAAAGAUUGUAAAGUAAGUCAAAUUUUAGUUAAAAGGCUACACUUUUCGAAUAUCUUCUAAAAUUCCACGGCAUUCCAUAUUGCGAGCGUCCUAAAUAUGUAAAUAAUACACCUAUUUUGUAAAUUUUUUAUUUGUAAACAAUAAAGUUUCAAUAUUUAAAAAAUACCGAUAAAAGAGUUUUUAGCUCACCUGUCACGAAGUGACAAGGUGAGCUAUAGCGAUCGUUUGAUGUGCGUCGUCCGUCGUGCGUCGUGCGUCAACAAUUUGUAAAGAAAUCUUCUUCUUGAAAACCACUGGGCAGAAUUACACCAAACUUCACAGGAAUGAUCCUUGGAUGGCCCCCUUUCAAAAUUGUUCAAAGAAUUGAAUUCCAUGCAGAACUCUAGAUGCCAUUGCAACCGAAAGGAAAAACUUUAAAAAUCUUCUUAUCCAAAACCACAGGGCCUAGGGCUUUCAUAUCCGGUGUGUAGCAUCACCUAGUGGUCCUCAACAAAAAUUAUUCAAAUUAUUCCCCUAGGGUCAAAUAUGGCCCCGCCCUGGGGGUCACAUGGUUUAUAUAGACUUAUAUAGGGAAAACUUUGAAAAUCUUCUUGUACAAAACCACAUGGCCUAGGGCUUUGAUAUUUAGUAUGUAGCAUCAUCUAGUGGUCCUCUACCAAGAUUGUUCAAAUUAUCCCCCUAGGAUCAAAUAUGGCUCCGCCCCGGGGGUCCCAAGUUUUACAUAGACUUAUAAAGGAAAAUUUCUAAAAAAUCUUCUUCUUGAAAACCACUGGGUAGAAUUACACCAAACUUCACAGGAAUGAUCCUUGGAUGGCCCCCUUUCAUAAUUGUUCAAAGAAUUGAAUUCCAUGCAGAACACUACAGGGCCUAGAGCUUUGAUAUCUGGUGUGUAGCAUUAUCUAGUGGUCCUCUAUCAAAAUUAUUCAAAUUAUCCCCCUAGGGUCAAAUAUGGCCCCGCCCCGGGGGUCACAUGGUUUAUAUAGACUUAUAUAGGGAAAACUUUGAAAAUCUUCUUGUACAAAACCACAUGGCCUAGGGCUUUGAUAUUUGAUACGUAGCAUCAUCUAGUGGUCCUCUACCAAGAAUAUUCAAAUUUUCCCCCUAGGAUUAAAUAUGGCCCCGCCCCGGGGGUCCCCAGUUUUACAUAGACUUAUAUAGAAAAAAAAGUUUAAAAAUCUUCUUGUCUGAAACCACAACACUUAGACCUUUGAUAUUUGGUUUGUUGCAUUGUCUUAUGGUCUUCAACCAAAAUUGUUCAAAUUGUACCCCUUGGUCGAAAAGAGGCCCUGCCCUGGGGGUCCCAAGUUUUAUAUAGACUUAUAUAGGAAAAAGCUUUAAAAAUCUUCUUGUCUGAAACUACAUGGCCUAGGGCUUUGAUAUUUGGUAUGAUGCAUUGUCUAGUAGUCCUCUACCAAAAUUGUUCAAAUUAUGCCCCUGGGGUUAAAAGAGGCCCCGUCCUGGGGUCACUUAGUUAUUAUGUGUGUUAUAUAGGAAAAAUAUUUAAAAAUCAUCUGAUCCUAUUUCCAAGACUGUUUAAUUAUAAUUACCUGAUGACUCCAAGUAAUAUGAUGUCACUUGACUGUGGCCUUGACCUACUGACCUACUUUCUUGUUUUUUAAUAUACAGCCUUGAAAUUUUGAUGACAUACACAGUUUUGCACACAAAUCGUAAAACUGAAUUUCAUUGACCAUGAAUGUGACCUACUGACUUUUCUUAAUAUUUUAGCAUCAGUUUGACAUUUGAAACAUGUAGCUCAUAUUACUCAGGUGAGCGAUCCAGGGUCAUCAUGACUCUCUUGUUUCCUUUUUGUCACUGUUUGUCUUUAAAUCUUUAUCUUUGAAUUAAUCCAUGUUUGCUUUGAAUUGUUUUUCCAAUCCAAAUAGACAUACAUUUCAAUGGAAGAGAUAAAGCUGCUACAGUUAAAAAGAAAUAGAAAUUGUUGACGUUGUAUGUUUUAAAACAUAUUGUGAUAUGUAAUAAAAACAGCUGGAAUAUCUCGUACCUGA